CAAAGUCCAGGAAAUGGCAUUUCAGAGACUCUAAAUUUAAAAAUUUCCUCGGGCCUUCGGCCCUCGCUUCGGCUUGUUUUUAAUAAGAAUAACGUCAAAUGUUUGUCCCAGAAUUACUAGAAUAAACCCCAACAAAAUUUAGAAUUUCCAAAAUAUCUUAUUGUACCUCCCCUCCCCUCCCGCCAAUUCAGGGCACUUUGGAGAGCCCCCCUUGUUAACAUUCCAGGACUACACCACUAAUAGGCCUAUAAAUUUCACUUAAAGCUUAAGGGGCCCUACAGUAAUUUUUUAGUCGAAAGCCACCUUAAGUAGGGAACUCCACGGAGAUUCGUUUGGCUGUAUCUUACAUGCAGUAUCCAUGAGUAUGAGUACUUUUGCACACAGAAAACGCAUGCAUACUGUGGUGCGCAUGUCAAGUAGCGACAAUAACAAAAAAUGUAAACAAUACUUACUUGACUAAAAAAUUACUGUAGGGCCCCUUUAAAAAAAAAAAAUUUCCAACCAUCAAGUGAGAAAAAAAAAA
Paramuricea clavata is the source of this 523-nucleotide non-coding RNA. NCBI's taxonomy places the organism in Eukaryota, Metazoa, Cnidaria, Anthozoa, Malacalcyonacea, Plexauridae. The record is from the annotation of a GenBank genome assembly.